Molecule: ribosomal RNA, 170 nt
Filed under: Paphiopedilum armeniacum
Lineage: Eukaryota; Viridiplantae; Streptophyta; Magnoliopsida; Asparagales; Orchidaceae
Description: 5.8S ribosomal RNA
Source: RNAcentral
UCCCGUGAACCAUCGAGUCUUUUGAACGCAAGUUGCGCCCAAGGCCAUCAGGCCAAGGGCACGCCUGCCUGGGCAUUGCGAGUCAUAUCUCUCCCUUAAUGAGGCUGUCCAUGCAUACUGUUCAGCCGGUGCGGAUGUGAGUUUGGCCCCUUGUUCUUUGGUGCUGGGGG